Monopterus albus (swamp eel) is the source of this 5188-nucleotide RNA transcript. It is a transcript of the gene named actin filament associated protein 1-like 1a, with no coding region annotated. NCBI's taxonomy places the organism in Eukaryota, Metazoa, Chordata, Actinopteri, Synbranchiformes, Synbranchidae. The transcript has 19 exons. The record is from RefSeq and is a predicted model, not a curated record.
AGCAGCAGCAGCAGCUUGUCCUCACCACACACCUUGUCAAACUUGUCAGUCAUGGGCCUGCACUAAAUGUCAGCAGCUCACAUGGACAGCAUCACCGGCAGAAUGGACAAAAACGGCAUCAAAUCAAUGGAGGUGUUGGUGAGUGAGCUGGGAGUACUGCUGAAGAUGCUGGACCAGGAGAACCUCAGCUCCUCCACCCAGGAGAAGAAGACGUCUGUGUGGAACCUCCUACAGCAGAUACAGCCAUCAGUUUCAGGAGCAGACUUCAUCUACAUGAACUCAGCAGUUUACAGAAAUGGCACCAGCUUUGUAGAAUCCCUCUUUGAGACGUUUGACUGUGAACUUGGAGACCUGAAGGAUGUUACUGACGAUCUGAAAGAAGACAAGAACACAGAAACAGACACUUUAAAUCAGCAGAACUGUGCGGACUCUGCAGCCCCACGUUCAGCAGACUCUCCUCCCCCUCUGCCCACAACGCCUCCUCCUGAGGAGUACUAUGAGGAGGCAGUGCCCCUCAGUCCUGGCAUGAUGCCCGAAUACAUCAUCACACGAGUCAGGCCCAGUCCUCCCAAUUCUAUAGAAGAUGGGUAUGAAGAUACUGAAAACAACUACCCCACUACCUGCAUAAACUCUCACCGCAAAAACUCUUACAAUGAUUCUGAUGCCUUGAGCAGUUCCUAUGAGUCUUACGAAGAGGAUGAGGAAGAGAGGGGCCCUGGCGUCCAACUCACCCAUCAGUGGCCCUCAGACGAGAGCUCCAUGCCUCCCGCCAGAGACUGUCGCAUCUGUGCCUUCCUGCUGCGCAAGAAACGCUUCGGCCAAUGGGCCAAACAGCUCACAGUCAUACGGGAGAACAGACUACAGUGUUAUAAGAGUUCUAAGGACACAUACCCCUAUGUAGACCUGCUGCUGCCCCAGUGCACUGUGGUCUAUGCACCCAAAGACAGCAAAAGAAAGCACCAUGAACUCCGGUUCACAUUACCCAACGGAGAUGCACUCGUGCUGGCGGUACAAAGCAAGGAGCAGGCCCAGAGAUGGCUUAGGGUUGUUCGAGAGGUGAGUGGUCAGAGCGCAGGGCCUGAGGAUUCUGCAUCUCCUGUCGGUCCAAGAAAAACCGAACUUGACAAGAGGUUAUCUGCUGAAAGGAACACAUCAGAUUCAGACAGUGUGGGUGUGUCAGCUGGAGACGCCUGCAGAGAGAAUGGGAAGGUUAAACGGGGGCCUUUUGCUGCAGGCCGUAAAAUAACACGCAUCAUCAGCUUCUCCAAAAAGAAGACCCCUCGGCCUGGGGAUCCCCAGACAUCGUACAGCGACCCUCGGCAAGGAUACCUGUCAGUGCUGCUGAAUCAGGUGUGGCGUGAACAGUGGUGUUGUGUGUGCAGAGGCUCUCUUCAGUUCUAUCAUGACAAAGGAGACUCUCGGACUUCCCUGCCUUCUCUCCCUCUCCAAGGCUGCGAGGUGGUGCCAGGGCUGGGACCCAAACAUCCCUUUGCCUUCCGAAUCCUGCGGAACAGCACAGAGGUGGCUGCUCUAGAGGCAAGCAGCUCUGAGGAGCUGGGAAGGUGGCUUGGUGUGCUCUUGGCAGAGACGGGCUCUGCAACAGAUCCAGAAUCAUUACAUUAUGACUAUGUUGACGUGGAAACAAUUUCUAACAUCUGCAAUGCUGCACGGCAUUCUUUCCUAUGGGCCACAUCUUCCAGCAGUACCUCCACAGACUCCAGAACAUAUGAUGAGGUCCCUAAUGAGGAUGUGCAGUCAGGGAAGAACUGCAGGCAGCAGAGUGGGAAUCAGGGGAAGCGGCGCUCAAGUUUCUCAAGCAGUGACUCAGACAGAACCAAACCAUUAGUCUCCCUCAAGCGAACAGGCUCAAAUGGCAACCAGUAUGGAAGAUAUGGGAAAACAAGAGCGGAGGAGGAUGCCAAGCGAUACCUGAAAGAAAAAGAGGAGCUGGAGAAAGAGAGGGAUGGGAUACGAAAUGCACUAGUGAUCCUCCGACAAGAGAAGAGAAAGUUGAAGGAAGAGCUGAAGACGGCCUCUGAUAAGAAGAUAGCAGACAGGAGGAAGUCCUUCCUGAACAAGCAUGUGACCCAGCUGGAGGAAGCCUGUCGAGCUAAAGAGGCAGAAAGGGUGGACCUGGAGCUCCGACUGACCCAGGUCAAGGAAAACCUGAAGAAGAGCCUGGCAGGUGGAGUAUUGGGUGCACCAGCCGAGGCUAAACCAAGCGCUAAGACCUUCAGCAGAAAGACCCAGAAUCUUUACAGCGAGUCUUUACCAGUGAACUGUGCUGCAGAGAUGCGCAGGAGACCUCCAUCUGUUUAUGCUUCUUCCACAGGAACUGUCAUGCAAAAGGCAAAGGUACGAGUGAGCUGUUUUCCCUUUUUCAUGUGCACUCCUUAAAUAAUUCCUCAGGCAACUUUUUGGACAGAUUUCUCUUGUCAGGCUUCACAGGAGGUUAAUGGAAUCACAGCAGCACACAACAUAAACACAUGCGUAUGGAUGAAUUCUGUGUGAUCACAUGGUAUUACUUUAUUGAACUAUGUCUGCUGUCACAGCUCAGCUCACAAAAUCUUUAACUACUGUGAAUGAUAACACCAGGUCAGGGUAACCUUGCUGUUGAGUACAAUAUAAACAACUGCAUUGACAGGUUGUUGUCAUUUUCACAGUGAUUUACUUUUAUGCACCUUUACUUGGUAAUUUAUUUACUUUUAUGCACAGAAGAAAAGAUGUGGGUAUGGUACUGUGGACCACAAAGGCACAAACAGUCAGAAAUAACUGUCUGAAGAAGUUAGCAGCCUUGUGUUUAGUAUUUUGACAGUGUGUGAACAUGCACAGAAAAAUAUGCACAUUCAGUCAGCAGAUGUUUGAGAGGAAGCAGAAGAGCAACAACAAGGACGUGCUCCAUGUACUGUACUGAUGUCUCAUAACAUCAGACACCCUCACUCAGGAAACCCAGCCAGGGUUGAAAGACCUCGACUUGUGUCCCAGCAGCACUGUCUGCUUCUCAGACCUUUUUAUCCAAAUCCACCUCAAGGCUCCUUUGUGGACUUUAAGGCUCCCCUCUUUGCAGCUCCUGUGAUGCCAAGGAGGGUGUAGGUCUUGCAUAAGGAGCGGGCAGCAAAGCUUCUACAUCCCACAUCUAAGGGCUCACAGUGAGCUUUCCAGCCCCUUCUUCAGCAUUCCUCAACAAGCUCGUGGUACUUGAGCUGCUUGCGCUCACUGGCCUCUUCCAUGCGGUCCUCCCAGGAGACUGUCAGCUCCAAUAAGAGGACCUGCUUAGAAGAAGCAGAUGUCAGCAUCACUUCUGGCCUCAAGGAGGUUGGUGUCACAUCAUCUGGUUACUUGAGCUGCCUUCUCAAGUCAACCUGCAGUUUCCAGUCUGAUGCCGAUGAGAGCGGGCUGGCUGAUGGUGUUAGCUGUGGUCGUGGCUUCUCUCCAGCCCUUACAAAGAAGAUUAUCAUCUGGCUGCGGAUGUGUCUGUUGUUGGCCACUGCACCAGAAAUGGCCUCAGCCACUGGUUUCAGCACCUGGUCAUGCCACCAGCGGUAAUGGCCCUCUCCAAGGACUUUAGGGCAGCUGCUCAGGAUGUGUCCCAGUGUACCCUUUCCAGGGCAUAGGGGACAUGUUGAAAUGUCACUCUUGCCACAAACAUGCAGGUUAUCUGGGCUGGCUAGGAUGUAAACAGACUGGACCAUAAACUUGAUGCACUGUGGUUCUGCCUGCCAGAUGUCAGUCCAGGUCAGCUUCCUCUCCAGAGCUCCUUUUAAACCUCGUUCAUGCCCCCUGCUGCUACAUUCUCACCAUCCUGCUGGUUCUCUUCUCUUCAACACCUACCCACACCUCCUCCAGGUCUAGAUGGCAUCUGUUCUUGCUGUGGGCUGUUAGGUAUUUUUGUACCAUGGCUGUGGGAUGGUUCCACUUCUUGCCAGUCCACACCACGAUGCCCACUGAUGCUACUUUGAAGUCACUGGAGUCUUGUUAAAUUAGUGCCUCUCUUGUGGAGGAAACCCUGAACUCCUCCUCCAGGCCCCUGAGCUGAAGUUUAUUGCUCCUCCAGUGCAGUGCUGUGCUACUGGGACUGCAAAUUGUUUGGGCUGUUUAUUGCAAGUUUGUUUCAUUUUGUCCAAACAAAAUAUCAUUUUAAUAAACAGUGUCAUUUUAAUUUUAAACAAAUCUGUUCAAAUCUACUGACAACUUUAAAUGUUAGUCUGUAUCAUUGUUCCGAUUAGAAAAAAUAUUUGUGUCAGAGCUUGUAAAUAUAAAAAUGAUGUUUUUAAUAUUUUUGCCAUUUUGCUAUGUUGAGCUGGAAAUAUUUGAAAGUUGAUUUUAUGUGCAUGUUUGUGUUACAGCAUGUCAAUGUAACUGAAAUAGGUUAAUUUGGUUCCACGUAUGGUUUGUCUUAUUUCCAGCAUUAUCUUAUUGCUUAUUUGUAAGUUUUACCUAAACUCAAAACUGAUCUUUAGAAUGAUAACUAAAUUUCCCAUUAAAUCACCUACUUGCUUUCUGUUUCUACAGGAAUGGGAGACAAAAAAAGGAAGGUAAGCGUAGCAUCAUGGCCAGGAGUGAAGGAAACACUAAGGGAAAUUCAUGCUUUGUGCUCACAUGGACACGAAUAGGGGCGCGCACGCGUCGCUAUUCAUACUUCAAAUAGAGAGACUGGCUUCUGUCCACGUACGCCGAUGGUUUCCAAGCAUUGUAGCACCUGUGCAGUCGGGGCUUUCGCUUUGCGGAUGUCUGCACACAUAGAGUCCCACGGACCCUCGUGGACCUGGCAAGGUAACGCAAAUUACGUCACUCGACCUUCGCGGACAUGCGGAUGCGCAAAGCAUGAAUUACCUGAGACUUUUGCAGCAUUUCAUCCCAGUAAGGAUAACUUUUCAGCUACAUCACAAAGCACGGACUUGGUUUAUUUGGGAUUAGAAGAAGGUAGCUGUAAUGAACGGACUCAACCACUAGGUGGAGGAUUUAUUGUUCAUCAUCAUCAUAAGACCAAACGGCAUGGGUGGAUUCAGCACUGUGCCAUGGAGGAUACCGCACUAUUUUUAUGACUGUACUUAUUAGCUUCUCCUCUCAGGUUGAAGCUAUUCAGUGAAUCCAUCUGCUGAAUUGCUUAGUAGAAACAAAAACCUACAGUGACUAACAAAGUGGUGCUCUUUAGUCAUACAAAUUUCUUUUCGGAGUGAGGAAAUCU